RNAcentral lists this ribosomal RNA (565 nucleotides) under uncultured bacterium. Its description in RNAcentral is "bacterial SSU rRNA". It matches the Rfam family "Bacterial small subunit ribosomal RNA", at positions 338 to 916 of the family's 1533-position model. The record is from RNAcentral.
CCUACGGGAGGCAGCAGUGGGGAAUAUUGCGCAAUGGGGGAAACCCUGACGCAGCAACGCCGCGUGAAGGAUGAAGGCCUUCGGGUUGUAAACUUCUUUGAUUGGGGAAGAAGAAAGUGACUGUACCCAAAAAACAAGCCACGGCUAACUACGUGCCAGCAGCCGCGGUAAUACGUAGGUGGCAAGCGUUGUCCGGAAUUACUGGGUGUAAAGGGCGUGUAGGCGGGGAAGCAAGUCAGAUGUGAAAUCCCGGGGCUCAACUCCGGAGUUGCAUCUGAAACUGUUUUUCUUGAGUGCUGGAGAGGAAAGCGGAAUUCCUAGUGUAGCGGUGAAAUGCGUAGAUAUUAGGAGGAACACCAGUGGCGAAGGCGGCUUUCUGGACAGUAACUGACGCUGAGGCGCGAAAGCGUGGGGAGCAAACAGGAUUAGAUACCCUGGUAGUCCACGCCGUAAACGAUGGAUACUAGGUGUAGGAGGUAUCGACCCCUUCUGUGCCGUAGUUAACGCAUUAAGUACCCCGCCUGGGGAGUACGAUCGCAAGGUUGAAACUCAAAUGAAUUGACGG